Long non-coding RNA from Cyprinus carpio carpio, 1505 nucleotides. Lineage: Eukaryota; Metazoa; Chordata; Actinopteri; Cypriniformes; Cyprinidae. The record is from Ensembl.
GGUGUUAUUCUGCCCUAAGACAAAAAAUAUCUCACAAGCACUCAUUUUAAUCUCUAUAAUAUAUUCUUCUAAUUGUUUUGUACUGAUUCGCUGGAGUGUUUUAAUGUAAAAGGCUGUAGUUUCAGUAUGUAGACCUUUUUCCCCAUGCCAGUGUUGAAGUCUCGAGCCGUCAGAGAGUCUGCUGCAAAUCAUUCAAUUUCACAAUUUACCAGCUCACAAAAAUCUGAAUUUAGCCGAUGGUGUGUUCUAAUGGGUGGAUUGUGUGCAAUCGCUGUAAUAUUUUAUUUUUAAAAGGUCUUAAACAGGAAUAAAAGUCGUUUUGUUCACUCAUUUUAAUUUCUAUAAUAUAUUCUUCUAAUUGUUUUGUACUGAUUCGCUGGAGUGUUUUAAUGUAAAAGGCUGUAGUUUCAGUAUGUAGACCUUUUUCCCCAUGCCAGUGUUGAAGUCUCGAGCCGUCAGAGAGUCUGCUGCAAAUCAUUCAAUUUCACCAUUUACCAGCUCACAAAAAUCUGAAUUUAGCCGAUGGUGUGUUCUAAUGGGUGGAUUGUGUGCAAUCGCUGUAAUAUUUUAUUUUUAAAAGGUCUUAAACAGGAAUAAAGUCGUUUGUUGUGAGGUCGUUGUGAAGCCCCGCGGUCUCGCGUUGUCAAAAUAGAUGACGCAAAUCCUUCAUUUUCCACACUUCAAGAGCUGAAAAACACCCACUUUUAGCUCUUGGUUUGUUCUAAUGGGUGGAUUGUGUGCAAUCGCUGUAAUAUUUUAUUUUUAUAAGGUCUUAAACAAGAAUAAAUUCGUUUCUUGCGAGCUCGUUGUGUCAUUGCACGAGAAGCCGCGCCGUCUCGCGCUGUCAAAAGAGCUGACGCAAAUCGUUCAUUUUCAAACUUCAACAGCUGAAAAACACCCACUUUUAGCUCUUGGUUUGUUCUAAUGGGUGGAUUGUGUGCAAUCGCUGUAAUAUUUUAUUUUUAUAAGGUCUUAAACAAGAAUAAAUUCGUUUCUUGUGAGCUCGUAGUGCGAGUGCAGGAGAAGCCGCGCCGUCUCGCGCUGUCAAAAGAGCUGACGCAAAUCGUUCAUUUUCAAACUUCAACAGCUGAAAAACACCCACUUUUAGCUCUUGGUUUGUUCUAAUGGGUGGAUUGUGUGCAAUCGCUGUAAUAUUUUAUUUUUAUAAGGUCUUAAACAAGAAUAAAUUCGUUUCUUGCGAGCUCGUUGUGUCACUGCACGAGAAGCCGCGCCGUCUCGCGCUGUCAAAAGAGCUGACGCAAAUCGUUCAUUUUCAAACUUCAAGAGCUCAAAAACACCCUCUUUUAGCUCUUGGUUUGUUCUAAUGGGUGGAUUGUGUGCAAUCGCUGUAAUAUUUUAUUUUUAAAGGCCUUAAACAAGAAUAAAUUUGCUUCUUGUGAGCUCGUAGUGCGAGUGCAGGAGAAGCCGCGCGGGCUCGCUCUGUCAAAAGAGCUGACGCAAAUCGUUCAUUUUCAAACUUCAACAGCUGAAAAACACCCUCUUUU